UACGGAGGGGGCUAGCGUUGUUCGGAUUCAUUGGGCGUAAAGGGUGCGUAGGCGGCGCGGUAAGUCGGGUGUGAAAUCUCGGAGCUUAACUCCGAAACUGCAUUCGAUACUGCGGUGCUUGAGGACUGGAGAGGAGACUGGAAUUCAUGGUGUAGCAGUGAAAUGCGUAGAGAUCAUGAGGAAGACCAGUGGCGAAGGCGGGUCUCUGGACAGUUCCUGACGCUGAGGCACGAAGGCCAGGGGAGCAAACGGG
This 253-nucleotide ribosomal RNA is filed under the name uncultured bacterium. RNAcentral's name for it is "partial 16S ribosomal RNA". It matches the Rfam family "Bacterial small subunit ribosomal RNA", at positions 524 to 776 of the family's 1533-position model. The record is from RNAcentral.